AUGCAUGUGUGCAUGUAUUCAUGUGUGCAUGUGUGCAUGUGUGUGUGUGUGUUUGUGUGUGUG
Molecule: microRNA precursor, 63 nt
Filed under: Sorex araneus (European shrew)
Lineage: Eukaryota; Metazoa; Chordata; Mammalia; Eulipotyphla; Soricidae
Description: miRNA (ENSSARG00000016972.1)
Source: RNAcentral